This 253-nucleotide ribosomal RNA is filed under the name uncultured bacterium. RNAcentral describes it as "partial 16S ribosomal RNA". It matches the Rfam family "Bacterial small subunit ribosomal RNA", at positions 524 to 776 of the family's 1533-position model. The record is from RNAcentral.
AACGUAGGAGACAAACGUUAUCCGGAGUUACUGGGCGUAAAGGGCGUGUAGGUGGUUUCGUAAGUCUGGCGUGAAAUUUUUCGGCUUAACCGGGAAAGGUCGUCGGAUACUGCGGGACUGGAGGACGGUAGAGGCGUGUGGAAUUCCGGGUGUAGUGGUGAAAUGCGCAGAUAUCAGGAGGAACACCGGUGGCGAAGGCGGGUCUCUGGCUCGGUACUGACGCUGAGGUGCGAAAGCGUGGGGAGCAAACAGG